RNAcentral lists this ribosomal RNA (479 nucleotides) under uncultured bacterium. RNAcentral's name for it is "partial 16S ribosomal RNA". It matches the Rfam family "Bacterial small subunit ribosomal RNA", at positions 28 to 507 of the family's 1533-position model. The record is from RNAcentral.
GAUGAACGCUAGCGGGAGGCCUAACACAUGCAAGCCGAGCGGUAUUGUUUCUUCGGAAAUGAGAGAGCGGCGUACGGGUGCGUAACACGUGUGCAACCUGCCUUUAUCUGGGGGAUAGCCUUUCGAAAGGAAGAUUAAUACUCCAUAAUAUAUUGAACGGCAUCGUUUAAUAUUGAAAGCUCCGGCGGAUAGAGAUGGGCACGCGCAAGAUUAGCUAGUUGGUGAGGUAACGGCUCACCAAGGUGAUGAUCUUUAGGGGGCCUGAGAGGGUGAUCCCCCACACUGGUACUGAGACACGGACCAGACUCCUACGGGAGGCAGCAGUGAGGAAUAGUGGUCAAUGGGUGCAAGCCUGAACCAGCCAUCCCGCGUGAAGGACGACUGCCCUAUGGGUUGUAAACUUCUUUUGUAUAGGGAUAAACCUACCCUCGAGAGGGUAGCUGAAGGUACUAUACGAAUAAGCACCGGCUAACUCCGUG